GCCAGCCGUCGCCACCCUGAACAAGCCUGAUCCCGUCUGAUCUCGGAAGCUAAGUAGGGUCGGGCCUGGUUAGUACUUGGAUGGGAGACUAGCUAGAAAGACCAGGUGCUGUAGGCG
RNAcentral lists this ribosomal RNA (117 nucleotides) under Pteropus alecto (black flying fox). Lineage: Eukaryota; Metazoa; Chordata; Mammalia; Chiroptera; Pteropodidae. The record is from RNAcentral.